Rattus rattus (black rat) is the source of this 1018-nucleotide long non-coding RNA. RefSeq lists it as uncharacterized. The record is from RefSeq and is a predicted model, not a curated record. NCBI's taxonomy places the organism in Eukaryota, Metazoa, Chordata, Mammalia, Rodentia, Muridae. The transcript has 3 exons.
CACAGAGAGCAGCUCUGCAAACUGCUUUUGGUAUCAUUAUCAUGGUGUUUAAAGGCAGUCCUGGCCUGCCAGCACUGUAGACGUGCUGGGCAUGCCUUUUGCAAAAACAGCCCCACAAAGAGUGCAGCCAAUGGCAAGGCAGAGCUUAGAGACUCCAAAGUGAUCUUCGCAGCCUAGCACUAUCCCAGACAAAGGAUCUCCUGUGAGGCUGGGCUCUCACCACAGGACACAGGCAGCCACAAGCUGCGACAUGGAGUUCUCUGCAGAGGAUCUGGUCGCCGCCACUGAAAUCACAGGAGGCUUCGGCAAAAGACAAUGUUCUCAAAUCCCCCAGGUCGCCACCAUCGGAUCGAUGGCGGAGUCUCCCUAAGCAGGAACCUCUGGGUGGCACCAGGGCAGGUCGGCGCCGGGAGGGGCGCGCUACUCUGUAUCACCGGGCAGGAGAUAGCCCUGAGCCAAAGGGGGCAUCGGGGCUCACAACAACCCUGGAAGGUGGUUUUGAAGUCAUGAGCUUAACUGGUUCUGCCAGCAAUCCUCCUGGGUACUAAGAUUACAAUCACGUCACGUGCUGGCAUGAAAUCAUUUCAAAAGAAGGGCAAAAGAUCACCACAGCCCAGGAUAAGGAACGACACCAUAAUCGUCAUGUUAUCGAAAUGUGAAACAAAAUUAUAGUGAAAGUCAGGCGCUGGGAACCCCCAGAGACACAGCUGUGCAGGAAGCUCACAGGCCUGGGCAAUGCUGGGAGCCUCAAAACUGAAAAUCCCCAACAGAGCAGCAAGAUACCAUACUGUGGAGUACAAAUCAGACAGCGCUGGACAUGGCACAGCAGGUGAAAGGCUGAAGAGAUGGCUCAGCAUAAGAGCACUGACUGCUCUUCCAGAGGUCCUGAGUUCAAAUCCCAGCAACCACAUAGUGUCUCUGUAAUGAGAUCUGAUGCCCUCUUCUGGUGUGUCUGAGGACAGUGACAGUGUAUCCACAUACAUGAAAUAAAUAAAUCUUUUAAAAAAGAAAAAAAAAA